This 361-nucleotide unclassified non-coding RNA is filed under the name soil metagenome. Its description in RNAcentral is "partial contains 5.8S ribosomal RNA, internal transcribed spacer 2, and large subunit ribosomal RNA". The stretch from base 1 to 120 matches the Rfam family "5.8S ribosomal RNA", at positions 35 to 154 of the family's 154-position model. The record is from RNAcentral.
GAUGAAGAACGUAGUGAAAUGCGAUAAGUAAUGUGAAUUGCAGAAUUCAGUGAAUCAUCGAAUCUUUGAACGCACCUUGCGCUCCUUGGUAUUCCGAGGAGCAUGCCUGUUUGAGUGUCAUUAAUAUAUCAACCUUCUCUUUUUUGAGUUGUUUGGAUGUGGGGGUUUGCUGGCCUCUUAAAUGAUUCAGCUCCCCUGAAAUGCAUUAGCAGAACAACCUGUUCAUUGGCGUGAUAAUUAUCUAUGCUAUUGAAUGUGAGGGCAGUUCAGCUUUCUAACCGUCCUUGGACAAUUCAUCAUUAAUGUGACCUCAAAUCAGGUAGGACUACCCGCUGAACUUAAGCAUAUCAAUAAGCGAGGA